GAUAAGUGCACCGCCUGGGGAGUAUGCUCGCAAGGGUGAUACUCAAAGGAAUUGACGGGGGCCCGCACAAGCGGUGGAGCAUGUGGUGUAAGUCGAGGAUACGCGAGGAACCUUACCAGGGUUUGACAUAUGGCGGACUGCGGCAGAGAUGUCGCUUCCCUUCGGGGCCGUCAUACAGGUGCUGCAUGGCUGUCGUCAGCUCGUGCUGUGAGGUGUUGGGUUAAGUCCCGCAACGAGCGCAACCCCUGCUGUCUGUUACCAGCACGUAAUGGUGGGGACUCAGGCGGUACUGCCGGUGACAAACCGGAGGAAGGUGGGGACGACGUCAAGUCAUCAUGGCCCUUAUGUCAUGGGCUACACACGUGCUACAAUGGCCGGUACAGAGUGCAGCGAAACCGCGAGGUGGAGCAAAUCACAGAAAGCCGUGCUCAGUACGGAUUGGAGUCUGAUACCCGACUUCAUGAAGCUGGAAUCGCUAGUAAUCGCGCAUCAGCAUGGCGCGGUGAUACGUUCCCGGGCAUUGUACACACCGCCCGUCAAGCCAUG
RNAcentral lists this ribosomal RNA (546 nucleotides) under uncultured organism. RNAcentral describes it as "bacterial SSU rRNA". It matches the Rfam family "Bacterial small subunit ribosomal RNA", at positions 859 to 1406 of the family's 1533-position model. The record is from RNAcentral.